Non-coding RNA from Podarcis lilfordi (Lilford's wall lizard), 72 nucleotides. The record is from the annotation of a GenBank genome assembly. Lineage: Eukaryota; Metazoa; Chordata; Lepidosauria; Squamata; Lacertidae.
GGGGCUAUAGCUCAGUGGCCGAGCACGUGCUUUGAAUGCAAAAGGUCGCAGGUUCAAUCCCCGACGGCAUCU